RNAcentral lists this ribosomal RNA (273 nucleotides) under uncultured prokaryote. Its description in RNAcentral is "partial 16S ribosomal RNA". It matches the Rfam family "Bacterial small subunit ribosomal RNA", at positions 524 to 796 of the family's 1533-position model. The record is from RNAcentral.
UACGAAGGGGGCUAGCGUUGCUCGGAAUCACUGGGCGUAAAGCGCACGUAGGCGGCUUUCUAAGUCAGGGGUGAAAUCCUGGAGCUCAACUCCAGAACUGCCCUUGAUACUGGAAAGCUUGAGUUCGGGAGAGGUGAGUGGAACUGCGAGUGUAGAGGUGAAAUUCGUAGAUAUUCGCAAGAACACCAGUGGCGAAGGCGGCUCACUGGCCCGAUACUGACGCUGAGGUGCGAAAGCGUGGGGAGCAAACAGGAUUAGAAACCCUAGUAGUCC